CAUCUGGGACGCCGGUAGCGACACUGGCGGCAACUCUCUGAACCACCAGUGCUGCAAUGGUGCUCACAGCAAGCGCGAGGAACAAGCAAGAGGCCGUGGAAUCGUCUCCAACAGACCGAAGACAAAGUUGGGCCGGCACACACACAGAUAUCCGGUUUAUUAGCUGACCGUGGCUCCACUUGGGCUCAUGAACAUCGACACAGAGCCUAUCAAAAAUGGAGAUGAAGAACCUCUUCCCUAAAUACCACAAAUUCCUUUUAGAAACUUCAGAGAAAUAUAAGUAAUACGGUCUAUUCAAUAUCCUACAAUAAGGUAAAAAAAUCGCAAGACAUUCAUUCUAAAUUCCUGCCAACGCAAAAGAAGGCUGAACUCUACGGAAUUCAGGAAUAAGAACCUAAACAAACACGAUUUUGAUUGUCAGCCCCUAUUUUGCGGCUUCACCCCAACAACUCUCAAGACAUACAUAACCCCCUACUCUCCAUAGCCCGAAGAAUGUUGUACGGCAGACAGAACCCAGAGAACAGCUGAAGGCGAUGUAAUUCAGUAUUUCAAUAUUAUGUCACACAGAAGAGUAAAACAGGAAUACAGUGUGGGUGGCAGACUGAGCAACAUCUAAUGUGAUAGUGUAUUAACAAAUUAAACAUGAACUUGGAAAAUAAAGUUAUGAUGAACAAGA
Molecule: long non-coding RNA, 676 nt
Organism: Cryptotermes secundus
Lineage: Eukaryota; Metazoa; Arthropoda; Insecta; Blattodea; Kalotermitidae
Exons: 2
Source: RefSeq, a predicted model, not a curated record